RNAcentral lists this small nuclear RNA (166 nucleotides) under Dasypus novemcinctus (nine-banded armadillo). RNAcentral describes it as "U1 spliceosomal RNA (ENSDNOG00000035185.1)". It matches the Rfam family "U1 spliceosomal RNA". Rfam says of the family: U1 is a small nuclear RNA (snRNA) component of the spliceosome (involved in pre-mRNA splicing). Its 5' end forms complementary base pairs with the 5' splice junction, thus defining the 5' donor site of an intron. The record is from RNAcentral. Lineage: Eukaryota; Metazoa; Chordata; Mammalia; Cingulata; Dasypodidae.
AUACUUAUGAUGAUGCAGGGGAGAUACCAUCAUCAAGAAGGUGGGUUUCCAGGGCAAGACUUAUCCAUUACACUCCAAAUAUGCUGACUCCUGUGAUUUUCCCAAAUGUGGGAAACUUAACUGCAUAAUUUGUGGUAGUGGGGGACUGUAUUUGUGCUCUUCCCUA